Molecule: unclassified non-coding RNA, 373 nt
Filed under: fungal sp.
Lineage: Eukaryota; Fungi
Description: partial internal transcribed spacer region
Rfam family: Eukaryotic small subunit ribosomal RNA (bases 1-46)
Source: RNAcentral
AAGUCGUAACAAGGUUUCCGUAGGUGAACCUGCGGAAGGAUCAUUAUCACGUAUCCACGUAUCAACCAUUGUGAACUGUGUUUUUAUUGAGGAGAGUAAGAUUUAAACUGCGUAUGGGCCAUUGCGUGCUAUCAGUAAAUCGCGUUGACUCCUUAAUAAAUUCUCUACCUUCAUUGAGAUUUGUAAGAUAAGUGAUUGAUUUUUUUCUUUCAUGAUUUUUCUCUCUGAAGCGUAAUAUCUUACACCAUAACCAAUUGAACCAAUUUUAUGAAUUUAGUACUGAUUUAUAUUUCUGGCUUUGAAAAGAGCGGAAAUUUUUUUCUAUACGAAAAAAAAAUUUAUACAACUCUUAGCAACGGAUAUCUUGGUUCUC